AUUCCCUUGUCAAGUCCCUGAGUGCCGCUGGCUCCCAACUCUUAAGGGCUUAGGGGUGGAGAAUGCUUAGGGGUGGAGGACUCUACCUGGUGAUUCAGAGCCUACAAGAUCCUCCCAGGAAGCCUUCCCUGGAAGCCUCAAACCUGGGAUAGGGGACAUUUCUCUGCCUUCUUAGCACCAUCGUACAUGCUUCAGCCCACCGCAAACUAUAAACCCCGAAGGUGGGCCCUGCUGUCAGGAGCAUCUUUAAAUCUCCAGCAUGAAGAAGUGGAUGCCGCAGCCUAUAACAAUGGAAUGUGGAUGCCAUCAUUGCUGUAAUUUUUGGAUCUGAGCCUGCCUUUUGUGCUAAAAGAAAGACCUGUUACUCUGAAAAUUUCAUAAGUGUGUAUGUUUAACUUUGGAAGAUCCUCCAUGAUCAAUUUUGGUUGAUGAAAUAUGAACAUUCUUUGGCUUGAUUAACUACAAUUCAUUUUGUUUAUAAAUAAAGGUGAGGGGCUGGGGUCA
RNAcentral lists this long non-coding RNA (504 nucleotides) under Urocitellus parryii (Arctic ground squirrel). RNAcentral's name for it is "lncRNA (ENSUPAG00010007292.1)". Lineage: Eukaryota; Metazoa; Chordata; Mammalia; Rodentia; Sciuridae. The record is from RNAcentral.